RNAcentral lists this ribosomal RNA (282 nucleotides) under uncultured prokaryote. Its description in RNAcentral is "partial 16S ribosomal RNA". It matches the Rfam family "Bacterial small subunit ribosomal RNA", at positions 524 to 803 of the family's 1533-position model. The record is from RNAcentral.
GACGUAGGGGGCGAGCGUUGUCCGGAAUUACUGGGCGUAAAGAGCACGUAGGCGGGAACCUAAGUCAGGUGUGAAAGACCGUGGCUCAACCACGGGGUGGCAUUUGAAACUGGGUUUCUUGAGGGCAGGAGAGGAAAGCAGAAUUCCUGGUGUAGCGGUGAAAUGCGUAGAAAUCAGGAGGAAUACCAGUGGCGAAGGCGGCUUUCUGGACUGACCCUGACGCUGAGGUGCGAAAGCGUGGGUAGCAAACAGGAUUAGAUACCCGGGUAGUCCCUGAGCGGG